This 433-nucleotide ribosomal RNA is filed under the name uncultured bacterium. RNAcentral describes it as "partial 16S ribosomal RNA". It matches the Rfam family "Bacterial small subunit ribosomal RNA", at positions 29 to 507 of the family's 1533-position model. The record is from RNAcentral.
AACGAACGCUGGCGGCAUGCCUAACACAUGCAAGUCGAACGAGACCUUCGGGUCUCGUGGCGCAUGGGUGCGUAACGCGUGGGAAGCUGCCCUUAGGUUCGGAAUAACUCCCCGAAGGGGGUGCUCAUACCGGAUAAUGUCUUAGUACCAAAGAUUUAUCGGCUUUGUAUGGGGCCGCGUUUGAUUAGCAUGUUGGUAGGGUAAAAGCCUACCAAGGCGACGAUACAUAGCUGGUGUGAGAGGCAGAGGAGCCACACUGGGACGGGGACACGGCCCAGACUCCUGCACAAGGCAGCAGUGGGGGAUAUUGGACAAUGGGGUAUAGCCUGAUGCAGCAAGGCCUGGUGAGUAAUGAAGGCCGUAGGGUAGGAAAGCUCUUUUACCCGUGAGGAUAAUGACAUUACCGGGAGAAUAAGCUCCGGCUAACUCCGUG